Dermochelys coriacea (leatherback sea turtle) is the source of this 165-nucleotide long non-coding RNA. RefSeq lists it as uncharacterized. NCBI's taxonomy places the organism in Eukaryota, Metazoa, Chordata, Testudines, Dermochelyidae. The transcript has 2 exons. The record is from RefSeq and is a predicted model, not a curated record.
CCAGUGUCUAAAACACCAGUGUGGCAGAGACCUUGAGUACCCAAAACAGCAACUGGGAUCUAUUUCUAGCUCUGUCACAGACAGCCUGGGUGACCUUGGACACGUCAAUGUUUCUCCUCCCAACUUUAGUCUAUUUACCCAGCUGCCCACUCACUGGGGUCUCCU